UUUCCAUUAGUAAGUGGGUUUAUUGAGCCUUCCUUAUAAGAAUGAUUGUUUUCUUGAGAGGAUGAAGACAAAUCUGGAGGAGGAAUAACUUCAGCAACUUUUACAUCCUCCAUNNUAAAGAAUAUGCAGUCAGGAGUCCCACUCCUGUCAAGAUUAUCCAGAAACGAAAAGAGAAGCAGAAUUGAGGAGAAUAUUAACGAUCUCUGCC
Molecule: unclassified non-coding RNA, 208 nt
Filed under: Hevea brasiliensis (rubber tree)
Lineage: Eukaryota; Viridiplantae; Streptophyta; Magnoliopsida; Malpighiales; Euphorbiaceae
Source: RNAcentral